This 870-nucleotide ribosomal RNA is filed under the name uncultured bacterium. Its description in RNAcentral is "bacterial SSU rRNA". It matches the Rfam family "Bacterial small subunit ribosomal RNA", at positions 28 to 896 of the family's 1533-position model. The record is from RNAcentral.
AUUGAACGCUGGCGGUAUGCUUAACACAUGCAAGUCGAACGGUAGCAGCUCUUCGGAGGCUGACGAGUGGCGGACGGGUGAGUAACGCGUAGGAAUCUGCCCCAUAGUGGGGGACAACGUGGGGAAACCCACGCUAAUACCGCAUACGCCCUACGGGGGAAAGCGGGGGACUUUCGGGCCUCGCGCUAUGGGAUGAGCCUGCGUUAGAUUAGCUUGUUGGUAGGGUAAAGGCCUACCAAGGCGACGAUCUAUAGCUGGUCUGAGAGGACGAUCAGCCACACUGGGACUGAGACACGGCCCAGACUCCUACGGGAGGCAGCAGUGGGGAAUAUUGGACAAUGGGCGGAAGCCUGAUCCAGCAAUACCGCGUGUGUGAAGAAGGCCUUAGGGUUGUAAAGCACUUUCAAUUGGGGGGAAAACGGCCGGACCAAUACCCCGGCCCUUGACAUUACCUUUAGAAGAAGCACCGGCUAACUCCGUGCCAGCAGCCGCGGUAAUACGGAGGGUGCGAGCGUUAAUCGGAAUUACUGGGCGUAAAGCGUGCGUAGGCGGCCCGUUAAGUCAGAUGUGAAAGCCCCGGGCUCAACCUGGGAACUGCAUUUGAAACUGGCGGGCUAGAGUUUGGUAGAGGGGAGCGGAAUUUCAGGUGUAGCGGUGAAAUGCGUAGAUAUCUGAAGGAACACCAGUGGCGAAGGCGGCUCCCUGGACCAGAACUGACGCUGAGGUACGAAAGCGUGGGUAGCAAACAGGAUUAGAUACCCUGGUAGUCCACGCCGUAAACGAUGUCGACUAGCCGUUGGGCCCUUCAUGGGUUUAGUGGCGCAGCUAACGCAUUAAGUCGACCGCCUGGGGAGUACGGCCGCAAGGUUA